Non-coding RNA from Mauremys reevesii (Reeves's turtle), 652 nucleotides. NCBI's taxonomy places the organism in Eukaryota, Metazoa, Chordata, Testudines, Geoemydidae. The record is from the annotation of a RefSeq genome assembly.
CAUGCAAAUGAGGGAGACAGUUUCCUGUUUAAAUCUGUGCCUCUCUCUGCCCAGGCUGCACCCGGAGACACAAUCCGCAGCCCCUGGGUCUGUGCAGUGACCAGCCAGUCCCUGAGAACUUUCCCCUCCAACACCAGGGAAAAUGGGAUUUUUGCUCCUUGUAAUUUUCGCUGCAGCCGCUUUGGAAGGUGCCCGGUCCCAGGUGCAGCUGGUGGAGUCCGGAGGGGAUGUGAAAAAACCCGGAGACUCUCUCCGCCUCUCCUGCAAAGCCUCCGGGUUCGACUUUGGGAGCUCCGGGAUGCAUUGGGUCCGACAGGCUCCCGGGAAGGGGCUGGAGUGGGUCUCACUCAUUUAUUGGGAUGGGAGCCAACAAUUUUACGCAGACUCAGUGAAAGGCCGAUUCACCAUCUCCAGAGACAACCCCAAAAACCUGCUGUAUCUGCAACUGACCGGCCUGAAGCCCGAGGACACCGCCCGGUAUCACUGUGCAAGAGACACAGUGAGGGGAAGCCGGGCUGAGUUCAGACAAGAACCUCCCCCUGCAGUGAUCAGAGAAGCGGGGACAAAUUCUGAGCCCACCCCCAACCUGCCGGGGAGUCACAGAUCCAUAGACAUAAAGGCCAGAACGGAGCAGGAUGAGAAACUAGUCUGA